GCAGACCACUCCUACGGGAGGCAGCAGUGGGGAAUAUUGCACAAUGGGCGCAAGCCUGAUGCAGCCAUGCCGCGUGUAUGAAGAAGGCCUUCGGGUUGUAAAGUACUUUCAGCAGUGAGGAAGGUGGGUAUGUUAAUAGCAUACUCAUUUGACGUUAGCUGCAGAAGAAGCACCGGCUAACUCCGUGCCAGCAGCCGCGGUAAUACGGAGGGUGCGAGCGUUAAUCGGAAUUACUGGGCGUAAAGCGCAUGCAGGUGGUUUGUUAAGUCAGAUGUGAAAGCCCGGGGCUCAACCUCGGAAUUGCAUUUGAAACUGGCAAACUAGAGUACUGUAGAGGGGGUAGAAUUUCAGGUGUAGCGGUGAAAUGCGUAGAGAUCUGAAGGAAUACCGGUGGCGAAGGCGGCCCCCUGGACAGAUACUGACACUCAGAUGCGAAAGCGUGGGGAGCAAACAGGAUUAGAUAACCUGGUAG
This 472-nucleotide ribosomal RNA is filed under the name uncultured bacterium. Its description in RNAcentral is "bacterial SSU rRNA". It matches the Rfam family "Bacterial small subunit ribosomal RNA", at positions 328 to 793 of the family's 1533-position model. The record is from RNAcentral.